ACUAGACUGUUUUAGUAGUAAUCUGAGUUAGUAAAUUCCUGUUUUUACUAAUCUGUUUUAGUACUAAUAUGUGUUAUUAAAUUCCCGUUUCAGUAACUUCAUGUUUAUACUAAUCUGAACUUCUGUGCAGUGUCUUUUUAACCAGUCAUGGCUUCUACACAAUCAUCAUCGUCUGUAAUUGAUGAAUUUGUGUUGGAAACACCAAGUUGUUGGUGUGGUUUGAAAGCACCCCUAAAGACAUCGCACACAACGAAAAAUUUGGGAAGAAAAUUUUUCGCCUGCCCAAAUUAUAAGACGCUUGAAAGUAGGAAAUGUGAAUUUUUCAUUUGGGCAGAUAUAUUUCACCUGGUAGAGGAGAACAUUCGUAGAAGAGAGAGUCAAGUUUGGAAUAUGUUGGAUGACGUAUUGGUGCGCGAGAAAGAGGUUUGUAAAAAGGAAGAUAAAGUGCGAGAGCGAGAGACAAGGCUUCGUAGGGAAAAUCAUAAAUUAUUAUGUUUGUAUUGGAUUGUGAUUUUUGUAAUUAUUUGGGCUUGGUUUGGAUAGUUUGGUAACUCUAAUACCAAACUAACUUUUUGUGUCCAUGUAACUGUUGGUAGAGUGUAGUGUGGAAGUCCAACUUACCAAACUGACUUUUUGAAUGUCAUGUAACUGUUGGUAGAGUGUAGUGUGGAAGUCCAACUUACUGUUAUGUGCAGAAACAUCUUGGACCUGUC
Molecule: long non-coding RNA, 713 nt
Organism: Carya illinoinensis
Lineage: Eukaryota; Viridiplantae; Streptophyta; Magnoliopsida; Fagales; Juglandaceae
Exons: 2
Source: RefSeq, a predicted model, not a curated record